Molecule: long non-coding RNA, 3999 nt
Filed under: Homo sapiens (human)
Lineage: Eukaryota; Metazoa; Chordata; Mammalia; Primates; Hominidae
Description: HSALNT0293981
Source: RNAcentral
GAUUAUGCUGUGCCUAAUGUUUUGUACUGUAACCUGCUUUUUCUUUUGAUGUAUCUGAACAUCAUUCCAAAUCAAUAGAUAUCAAUCCAUUUCAUUAUUCUUAAUGUCUGCGUUGUAUUUUGCUUCAUGGAUAAUGUAUUUAACUGUAAUUCAUACGGUUGGAUAUUUUGAAGUUUUCACUGUGAAAAACAGCAGUGACGUGUACAUCUUUACAUGCAAAUGUGCAUUUGAGAGGUUAUUUCAAAAGAAUAAUUUCUCAGAAGAGUAAACACCCAGAUCAAAGUGAAGCUUUUCAAGGCUGCUGCCAAAGGGCCCUUGGGAAAAAUUGUGCCAAUUACAUUGCCACUAGCAGCCCAGGGGAGUGUGCUUUUCUCAACAUUCUAGAGUGUUUUUCAAAUCUUUUGACUCACUGGAAGACAUACAUUUUGUAUAGUGACCCACUUACACACACACACACACACACACACACACACACAAGUAUAACUGAAAUAAAUUUUCAUAUUUUCCUGACUAGGCGCAAUAAAUUUUCUCUCUUUUCUCCUCUUCCUUUUCUUUUCAAAAACAUUUUUUAAAAUACCAGAUACGGUGGGGUUAAGUUCAUGAUCCAUGAAUGGGUAGUAACUCAUGGUUUGAAAACACACUCUGUUAAUGCUUGGAUAGUAGGAUUCUUUUUAGUAUUUGCCUAUUUGACAAUAUGAGAUGAUGACGAGUUAUUAUCCUAUUCUUUAAUCACUAGAGAGGCUGAGUAUUUUGGAAAAUUAUAUUUUUGGAGAGAGUAAACUAGAGUUCAUUGUUUCUCAACCUUUAGUGCAAUUAGAAUUUUUAAAAAGAAUCCUUUAAUUAAUUUCUGGACCAAAUAAUCUCUAGAUUAUUUGGCUCAGGUAUCAAAAUUUGUGGCUAAGGCUGAGAACACAUGCCAUAGAUUACUAAAAUUCUUUUAACUGUUCAAAUAGACUCUGUUUUUGCCCUUUAAACACCACAUAUUUUAAAAACAUCAUAGUCAUCUGAAGGUUAAUUCAGGGUUAAGUAUGGAGUUAGGGAAGGAUUCUAAUUUUGACUUAUGAACUGUUAGCUGCAUAAAUCACAGUUUUUAAAAUCCAGUGCAUAUUUGGGUCUUAUUCAGUGGUAAAUUAUGGUGAAGAGAUUCACAUUAUGGGAGAUAGUUUCGAUUCUCAUGAAUAUAAUUAUACUGUGGGAGAACCAAGGUACUAUUUAGUAUUUCAGAGUUCCAUCAGAUAGAGAGUUCCAGUUGCCUACUGGAAAUUCUACCUAGAUGGUCCUCUGAAACCCCAAAUUUAAUGUGUCUUGCCAAUAGAGUUCUUAACUCCCUCCUGCCUUUUCCCAAACCCAUCUUCCUUCCUCUGUUUAUGGCCCAGUGGACAAUAAUAUGCUUUGCAAUAAGACAGAGGUUUCUUUACAUUGUGGAUACUGGAAAUGUACCAUUUGGUGGCCCAAGCCAGCCUGCAGUAAUGCGGAUGGGGGUGAGGCAGUAGUCUGCUGGCCUGAGCCCUGACCACUGGGAUUUCAGCUCUGAAAGCUGGAGAACGCCAGCCUGGGACAGCGCUCCCUCCCUCUCCCCAUUUUCUUUCUUUUCUUUUCAUACAGAAUCUUGCUCUGUUGGCCAGGCUGGAGUAAAGUGGCAGAAUUAUAGCUCACUGCAGCCUCAAACUCCUGGGGUUCAGUGAUCCUCCUGCCUCAGCCUCCUAGACCUACAAGUGCAUGCCACCACACCUAGCUAUUUUUUUUUUUUUUUUUGUAAAGACCCUGGCCUCAAGUGGUUCUCCUAUCUCGGCCUCACAAAGUGCUGGGAUUAUAGGCAUGAGCCACGGCGCUCGGGCCCUCUUCCUGUUUUUUUGUUUCUCUGUUGUGCAUGGAGAGGACUGCAGGAUAGAACAGACACUCACAGGUGGUUCUUAGAGGACCAGCCUCUGGUACACAGGACUGCAGUGGGGACAUAAAGACAGCGGAGUAGUGAGUCUAUAGCAGAUGUUAUCUGAAUGACUGGAAGAGGUGAGAGAUUUAAAUGACUUCCCAAAGGGCUGGACAAAUUGAUGCACGGCAGGUGACUAAGAGGAGCUGGGGUUGAGUCAAAGGUGACCAUUCUGGUCUUUCUACAGUGUUUGUCCUUGGUGUGCUAUUGGUCAUACUGGCAAUUCCCAUGUCUCCAGGUUUCUCUAUUACUGCUCCUUUAGAAGAGUGCCAGAGUAGAAAAAGCUUUAACCUUGAGCAAGUUAUCUAACCUUUCUAUUUCAUCUAUAAAAUGGAGUAAUAAUAUACUGUUGGGUCUGUGAAGUCCCAGCACAGGGCCAGGCCCUUGAUAGGCACUAAAUAAACGACAGCCCUUUAGAAGGAGCCAGCUGUGAUGGUCAGGAUCAGACCCUCUCCACACAUCCAGGUAGGCAAGUGCCCGAGAUCUCAGAUGGUCAAGUGGAGUGCCCGGCAAGGGGGCUGGAGAGUGGUGGGGUGGUGGGUGGGCUGUGAGUCAGCCCAUGGUCCCUGUCAUAUUCUCCUGCGGUGUCCAAAGUGCUCCCCACUAGAGCAGCACAGCUCUGCAGAGAUGCAGAAGAACAGUUACGGAUCCAGUCAGAUGAUGGAUCAGCUGUUCGGCUUUUACCUGCUGUUCACCCAAGUUUACCUACUUAGAAAGAGAAGACUACCAGCAACCUAGAGAAAGAAUAGAAAGUCCAGCCACCUUCCAGGCUUUGAGUCUCAGAUUAUGGGAGUGUGGAUUUUCCUCUGGUUGUCCAUGGUCACUAGAGGUCAAUGAUCAAGUCAUCCAACCCAGACAUCGUUAUUUAGAGCUGGAAAACAGAAAACAAGGGAGCACUACAUCCUGUUGGGUCACAUCCUGUUCACGAUGACAGGAAGCAGGGCAGCAGACCAAGACGGGUAGAAAAACAUGACGCUUACAAGGCAUUUGCACGCUAGAUGUGCACGUGUGUUUUGGUAUACAGUUUUUAAAGACACUGUGAAUCAAUGCCCAUAUUACGCUUUUGGAAAUUCUCAAGUUUCUUGUCAAAUAAAAUUGGCUAAAAGCCAAGUCUUUAUUAUCUGACUGUGCUGGGCCUAAAACCAUGCCAAUUUAAGAAAGAGAAAAAUAUCCUAUUUGCCAUCUGAAAACUGAUCACAAAGGCACUGAGUGUUUCCCGCAGGAAUAGAAAUGCAAUGUUGGGAAAUCUCAGUUACACUCCUAUUUUCAGCCAUUCCUUCCUCAAAAUCCUGCUCAAGUCUAAGAGCAAGGAUCCUACUUGCUAACUGCCGUGUGCUAGGCAGGGUGCUAAGCACUUUAUUCAUGUAUCUAAUUUAGUCCUACUACGCCACGAGAGAGAUACCAUCAUCCACACUUUACAGAUGAGCAAAUGGAACCGCUAGUUAAGAAUCUUGCUCAAGGUCACAUCGGUAGUAAGGGAUGGAGCCAGUGUUCUCACACAGAUAUUUGCAGUCAGCCCUUUCUAAUUACAGAUCAGGCUCUUUUGCAACACUGCACUGCCUUUCAAUGUGGAGCCUGGGAGAGAAAUGACAGAAAAAGAUGUGUUAGAGUGGACUGUUUAUUCUUUGAAUGAUCUCUGUCUCUCUCUUUUUGUUUAUUUUUCUUUUGUUUUUGAUGCUUGAAUUUACUGUCACUGCCUACAAACUGGGGACAUUCAUUAUUGGAUAUUACUGGUUAGAGAGUAUGGUUUUAUGUAAUAAGGAAAGGAAUUUCAGAAAUGUAAACUGCAGGAAAAGAAACACAGCAAAUUUCCAGAUGUCUGGGUUCCUUUUUUUUUCCUUUUGUAAAUGAUUUGGUUGGUUCUAUUUGGAAUGAAAGUUAACUGCCUAGAGGAUAAAAAUAUCCUCUUUUGUAGUUUUUACCUCGAACAGCAACAAGAACAUAUUAUGUGUUUUCAUGGAAAGAUCUAUUUUUAGAGAGAAUGCAAGCCACCCUCAGCCCUGUGAGUAAUAACUGUUUGGCACAAUGAUACUUACAAUAGAUAAUCACUCUAAGUCCUUCUUUGAAAG